ACGUAGGGUGCGAGCGUUGUCCGGAAUUACUGGGCGUAAAGAGCUCGUAGGUGGUUUGUCGCGUUGUUCGUGAAAUCUCACGGCUUAACUGUGAGCGUGCGGGCGAUACGGGCAGACUUGAGUACUGCAGGGGAGACUGGAAUUCCUGGUGUAGCGGUGGAAUGCGCAGAUAUCAGGAGGAACACCGGUGGCGAAGGCGGGUCUCUGGGCAGUAACUGACGCUGAGGAGCGAAAGCGUGGGGAGCGAACAGGAUUAGAUACCCUGGUAGUCCACGCCGUAAACGGUGGGUACUAGGUGUGGGUUUCCUUCCUUGGGAUCCGUGCCGUAGCUAACGCAUUAAGUACCCCGCCUGGGGAGUACGGCCGCAAGGCUAAAACUCAAAGAAAUUGACGGGGGCCCGCACAAGCGGCGGAGCAUGUGGAUUAAUUCGAUGCAACGCGAAGAACCUUACCUGGGUUUGACAUGCACAGGACGCCGGCAGAGAUGUCGGUUCCCUUGUGGCCUGUGUGCANGUGGUGCAUGGCUGUCGUCAGCUCGUGUCGUGAGAU
Molecule: ribosomal RNA, 549 nt
Filed under: uncultured bacterium
Lineage: Bacteria
Description: bacterial SSU rRNA
Rfam family: Bacterial small subunit ribosomal RNA
Source: RNAcentral